This 76-nucleotide non-coding RNA is filed under the name unclassified sequences. RNAcentral describes it as "CyVA-1 RNA". It matches the Rfam family "CyVA-1 RNA". Rfam says of the family: Cyanobacteria, Acidobacteria (1 example), Verrucomicrobia (1 example). Big IGRs The record is from Rfam by way of RNAcentral.
AGGGCGGCACAGAUUUUUCACCGUUUCCUCUGUUAAGAACGGCCGAAGGAGAACGGUGUCAGGCCGUUCACGCUCU